ACAGCAACAAUUGCUCUGAGUGAUAUUAAUGACAAUCCACCAACCUUCAUGAAAUCAUCUUAUAAUGUCACUGUGCAAGAAGAUGAAAGUGAAAAACUUUUACUUCGAAUUCCUGUUCAAGAUAAAGAUUUGAUAAACACAUCGAACUGGAUGUCAAAGUUUGUCAUUA
Long non-coding RNA from Pundamilia nyererei, 169 nucleotides. RefSeq lists it as uncharacterized. The transcript is spliced from 2 exons. The record is from RefSeq and is a predicted model, not a curated record. NCBI's taxonomy places the organism in Eukaryota, Metazoa, Chordata, Actinopteri, Cichliformes, Cichlidae.